Molecule: non-coding RNA, 73 nt
Organism: Potamilus streckersoni
Lineage: Eukaryota; Metazoa; Mollusca; Bivalvia; Unionida; Unionidae
Source: the annotation of a GenBank genome assembly
GCUAAAGUGGCCUAAGCGGUUAAUGCGUCCGCUUCAGAUGUGGGAGAUCGCGGGUUUGAAUCCCGACCGAGUA